AAGAAAAAUAAAUAAAACUUUUGAAUAUAAAGAGAAAUGACUAUCUUCGGGAAUUUAAUUAAGUUAAACCAAAGUGAAAAUAAAUUGUUAGUUAAUUCAAUGAAAUAAAUAAAGAGGAAAAGGGAGAGAAUAUUGAACUUGGGCUUUUUGCCCAAAUUCGAAAUUGGGCUUGCCAACACUUUUAUCCAUGUCCUAUUAUCUAAAGUUUGUCAAUAAUGAUGGGUUUUGGCCCAUCUCAUCAAAAAUCAGCUCCUUAUCAUUUUUGGGUCUGCUGUAAUUUCAUUGGGCUUUGGCCCAUUUUUUGCUACCUGGACCUGCUGGCAACAAAGAUCUUGGGCUUGAAGCCCAUUUUUGAGUUUCCCAGAAUUGUAUACAUUUGUAUACUGAUGUAUAUCAGCCCCUGUUCUUGUAUAUUAUACGUAUACAGACGUAUGCAAUCCAUUUUUUCAGCAUGUGUUUCAUCCCGAUUUUGACCUGUUCAUCGAUUCUAAAGGCUGGCCGACUCGAAGGAAAGGGUUUGAGCCUUUAUGGAUCUCUUGAAAUGCAGGGAAAGAAAAAUAGGAGUUCAUGGCGAACUCGAACAGAUUUCACAUGCCACGAAAAUGAUGAUAAGAAUUAGCCAAGGAAAAGUGACAUGGAAUAAAUAAUAAACUUGAUGAAAGGACAAAUAAAAAUAAAAUGAAGCUAUUAUUUAACUACUCGAACUAGUCAAAACAAAGAAGACUAUGCAUAUACGAACAAUACAACACUCAUAAUAAGUUUCACUCAUAACAUACAGUGGCUAUGAAACAAAAAAAAAACAUGCUACCUUUUUGAACAAAUGGGACAAAUAAAAUUUAUAAAUGAGACCAUCUACAGAGGUGAGUCUCCCAAACAAACAUAACAAAAAGAAGUGAGCAGCCAUGACUUAAACUCAAACAACGACUCAAUCUAAAUAUUAACAUUAUCGGGAAGUUUCUUACGACUAACUUUAAGCCCUUUUAAGGAAUAAAAUGACCAGGGCACAUGAAAUCUGAAAAAUCAUGCUAAGAACACUUUGAUCAAACUUUUAUCAAACUCGUUCACACUAUAUGAAACGCAUGCAGCUGAGCAGGGACAAUUUUGAAAACAAAAAUCCAUGCUCAAAAUAACUAGGUUGCAUUAGGGAAAAUCACACAACUACACUAAACACAAAAGGUCAAUUUUAGUUUCAAAAGAAAGAGCAAAAACAGGAUAUUAAGAGCUAAAAUGAAACCUGAAUAUAAAACACCACACCUUAUCAAAGCUAUAAUCACAUCUCCCAAAUCAGAUUUGCAAUAAUCGAAACAAGAAAAUAAAGUAUAGGCAACACAAUCAGUUGUUAACAUGUAGAACAACAAGAUUACUUAAAACUAGCACUAAUCACACUCUUAUACAAAUAAAAUCAGUAAGGGAACCAUCAUAAGCGACCGCUCAAAUAUCAUCAGAACUAUAAUCAAAUCUGUAGAGAAAAGAAGAGUGAUACAUAAAGAAAACAAGUUGAACAACCCAUAUUUGUCUAAAAAAAAUACGAAAACAGAGAAUAUGACGAGUAUUCAAUGUACUCCACAUAGAAAGCAUCGCAUUAAACUAAAUCCGAACAUGAUAACAUGAAUAUAUCUAGCAAUUAGAGGGAGGACUAUCAUCAAUCAACCCAUAUUCAAGCAUAAUCUAAGUGACAUGAACAUUCAAGGAACAUAAAAGUCGAGAAGAAAGAAAUGAAACGAAAACGAGAUAGGGACAAGGUUGUUACCUUUUCCUAGGCAACGGACUGGGACCAAAACAAACGGAGGAGUAGCGACUUCACCACGAAUGGAAAUCAAAUAGAGCUACUAUGAAGAAUCUCCGAUGCAAGCUUCGAAACAAAUUUCUAGGACUCGGAAUUUCUAGAUUUAACAACUAUAGCUAUCCCUUUCUUCUUACAAAUAUAUUCUUGUAUGUAGUCUUUAGCUACUGGAAAACCGAAAAAUCUAAAGGAAGUCGAAAACCAAAACUCGAACCUAUUUCGUAUUUGGUUUCUAUAGCUAUUUCUUACUAAGUAUUUCUCUCUGUAUCAACUGAAAUCCCAAUUUUUUUCCCAAUCUUUUCCAACUCUCUUACUGAAGGUAAAUGAGGGGUUUAAAUACAGGGGAAAAUAGGGUUCGAUUUAGAGGGGAAAACGGGCAGAUUUGGAUAAGAUUUUAUGAAUUCGAAAUUCGAAAAUCUCUUAACAGAUAAGGUUGGAGCUGGAAUUAGUACAAAUCUCCAACGGAAAACAAUUUUGGGCGCUUGAUUUUCGAGCAAGGACGAGUGAGUUGCGGAGAUGGAGACACAUAAUGAUUCUCCAAAGAUUUUGGUACGAACGAUAAGGAGAGAGGAGGAGGAGGAGGAUGCGCGAGAGCUGGGCUCAAUUUUCUGCUGGACUUGCAAUUCUGGACUGCUUAUGGGUCGCGAUUGCUGCUGAUUUGGGUUGCUGAGUUUCUGGGUUUGUUCGCUGGGAAGAAGAACAAGUUACACGGGUGGGGUAGCGUACUGUUUGCUGUUGUGUUGUUGUGUAUGUGUUUGUUUGGUAUUGUAAUUGGAAUGAGCUUCUUUAGUAUUGUAAUUACGCUUGGA
Molecule: long non-coding RNA, 2592 nt
Filed under: Solanum tuberosum (potato)
Lineage: Eukaryota; Viridiplantae; Streptophyta; Magnoliopsida; Solanales; Solanaceae
Description: long non-coding RNA (STUB_LNC002945)
Source: RNAcentral